AGAUAAAGUUUUAACCAGGAGAGCUUUCUGGGAAAAAAGUGUGUUUCUUGCUGGAGACAAAUGUCUGAAAUGUUCAGUGACUGGCUGCAAAGAUCAACUUGAUUGCCAAGUCUGAAAGGAAGGGAACAAGCACAAUGGAGCCCCCUCCCCAGCUCAGCCCCUCUUUUAUCCUUUCCCAUCCAGGAUCCAUGGGCACUCUGCCAACGGGGAAUCUUAAGAACUCAUUCAAAGGAACCCGAAGAAAGGAGCUUGUUUAAAACCAGGAGCCAUUCUUUCGCAGGCUCUUGUUUUUCUUUACGUUUCCCACGUGAGGAGGGAUUUUCUGGCUGUCAUUUUCUCUGACACAGCUUCUGAAAUGUACCGGGCUGAGAGGAUGUCACACUCGGUCCAGCGAUGGACACAGGACAGGGAGAAGGAGGAGACGGAGCGACCGCUAGAGUCAGAACCAGCAGCAUGCACCUGAACUAACACACACCGGGAGGCUGCAGCUAUCUGAUCAUUGGUUGGAGGGAUUCAUAAUUUCACUCAACUAGAGGCUCUGGCUCACACGUGUCACACCUUCAGUGGGUUCUUGUGGAAACGGUCACAUCGACGAGUCUCGAGUGCUUUUAUUAAAGAUAAAGCUAAAGUGUGGGCAGCCUGUCGCGGUGACCGUCCUCCAUCGUCUGAAUAACAGCUGGACUCUUUCAUUAAAGACAUGAAAUCAUUCACCACAACCCGUCAGCCAUACAUCUAUCUAAUCAGUAAUUAAGUCAGACUGUUUAUUAAAAUGUUUUUAUGGUUCUAGAUGGACUUUUCUCUGCUCUGACCCAGUUCCCUCGUGAGAAAGUGUUGUCUUCGAAAUGAUCGUUUAUUCUGUUCAGACUCGUAGCUUUUAGUCUGAUUAGUUUAUCUCAGCACAAGUAUCGUUCUUUAACUGUAGCUGAUGUGUGAGCAGGAGACGCCUUUGUGAUCGUAUUAUGUUUAUUCAUGACAAUAAAAACCCGUUCUCUAUUCAAUGAAGUUCAGGUAAAAUUCUGAUUUACUAAUUAUUCAUAAAGAAUGUUUGUUGUUUCCUGCUUAUGUAGUCCUGCUGAUCCAGCUGGAAGAAAACCCUUUCUAAAUAAAAGCUCAGGUCUCAGGAAAUAAAAGGAAAAGAUGGUUUUUUAUUACUUGUUUGGAAGUUUAACUGAAUCAUUAGUUUCAAACAUGAACUAAAAAGAAAAGUGAAGCUUUUUACUAAAUAGUAAAACCAGUUCCGGACCCUAAGCUGUGAACUGAGCUCCGGUCUGGUUUUAUGGAUCAUCAUCCUUCACGGGCCCGGAUGUAGCCAUGGGCAAGGAGGGGCAAUGCCCCCCUAAAAAUAGUAACUGCCCCCCCCCCCCACCCCCAAAUGCGAUGACAUGUAGAAAUCCCACAUUUGAAAAGAUCUGAUGAAAAAGGGUCAGAGUUCUCUCUCUCUCUCUCUCUCUCUCUCUCUCUCUCUCUCUCUCUCUCUCUCUCUCUCU
This 1487-nucleotide long non-coding RNA is filed under the name Nothobranchius furzeri (turquoise killifish). RNAcentral describes it as "lncRNA (ENSNFUG00015022529.1)". The record is from RNAcentral. Lineage: Eukaryota; Metazoa; Chordata; Actinopteri; Cyprinodontiformes; Nothobranchiidae.